RNAcentral lists this ribosomal RNA (305 nucleotides) under uncultured bacterium. RNAcentral's name for it is "bacterial SSU rRNA". It matches the Rfam family "Bacterial small subunit ribosomal RNA", at positions 337 to 659 of the family's 1533-position model. The record is from RNAcentral.
ACCUACGGGGGGCAGCAGUGGGGAAUAUUGCACAAUGGGGGGAACCCUGAUGCAGCGACGCCGCGUGAGUGAAGAAGUAUUUCGGUAUGUAAAGCUCUAUCAGCAGGGAAGAAAAUGACGGUACCUGACUAAGAAGCCCCGGCUAACUACGUGCCAGCAGCCGCGGUAAUACGUAGGGGGCAAGCGUUAUCCGGAUUUACUGGGUGUAAAGGGAGAGUAGGUGGCAGAGCAAGUCCGAAGUGAAAACCCAAAGCUCAACUAUGGGAAUGCUUUAGAAACUGCUCAGCUAGAGUGCAGGAGAGGCA